UACGGGAGGCAGCAGUGGGGAAUAUUGCACAAUGGGCGCAAGCCUGAUGCAGCCAUGCCGCGUGUAUGAAGAAGGCCUUCGGGUUGUAAAGUACUUUCAGUCGUGAGGAAGGUGUUAAGGUUAAUAACCUUAGCAAUUGACGUUAGCGACAGAAGAAGCACCGGCUAACUCCGUGCCAGCAGCCGCGGUAAUACGGAGGGUGCGAGCGUUAAUCGGAAUUACUGGGCGUAAAGGGCACGCAGGCGGUUAAUUAAGUUGGAUGUGAAAUCCCCGGGCUUAACCUGGGAAUGGCAUUCAAGACUGGUUAGCUAGAGUCUUGUAGAGGGGGUUAGAAUUCCAUGUGUAGCGGUGAAAUGCGUAGAGAUGUGGAGGAAUACCGGUGGCGAAGGCGGCCCCUGGACAAAGACUGACGCUCACGUGCGAAAGCGUGGGGAGCAAACGAGGGAUUAGAUACC
Molecule: ribosomal RNA, 455 nt
Filed under: uncultured bacterium
Lineage: Bacteria
Description: bacterial SSU rRNA
Rfam family: Bacterial small subunit ribosomal RNA
Source: RNAcentral